GAAGGCGGCUUUCUGGACUGUAACUGACACUGAGGCACGAAAGCGUGGGGAGCAAACAGGAUUAGAUACCCCUGGUAGUCCACGCUGUAAACGAUGAAUACUAGGUGUAGGGGGUAUCAACUCCCUCUGUGCCGCAGCAAACGCAAUAAGUAUUCCGCCUGGGGAGUACGGCCGCAAGGUUGAAACUCAAAGGAAUUGACGGGGGCCCGCACAAGCAGCGGAGCAUGUGGUUUAAUUCGAAGCAACGCGAAGAACCUUACCAAGGCUUGACAUCCUGCUAAGCUCAUGGAAACAUGAGGUCCCUUCGGGGGAGCAGAGACAGGUGGUGCAUGGUUGUCGUCAGCUCGUGUCGUGAGAUGUUGGGUUAAGUCCCGCAACGAGCGCAACCCUUGUUGCCAGUUACCAGCGGAUAAUGCCGGGGACUCUGGUGAGACUGCCGGGGACAACUCGGAGGAAGGUGGGGACGACGUCAAAUCAUCAUGCCCCUUACGUCUUGGGCUACACACGUGCUACAAUGGCUGUAACAAAGGGAAGCGACAG
This 540-nucleotide ribosomal RNA is filed under the name uncultured bacterium. RNAcentral's name for it is "bacterial SSU rRNA". It matches the Rfam family "Bacterial small subunit ribosomal RNA", at positions 717 to 1255 of the family's 1533-position model. The record is from RNAcentral.